UGGGCAGCAGAAGGCCAGGGAG
RNAcentral lists this unclassified non-coding RNA (22 nucleotides) under Mus musculus (house mouse). RNAcentral's name for it is "oocyte_clustered_small_RNA13602". Lineage: Eukaryota; Metazoa; Chordata; Mammalia; Rodentia; Muridae. The record is from RNAcentral.